RNAcentral lists this ribosomal RNA (378 nucleotides) under Triticum aestivum (bread wheat). Its description in RNAcentral is "partial small subunit ribosomal RNA". The record is from RNAcentral. Lineage: Eukaryota; Viridiplantae; Streptophyta; Magnoliopsida; Poales; Poaceae.
AUGGCGGACACCAGCACCUUCGCGGCGCCCCCGCCCCCGUGGAUGCCAUCCCCGGCCAUGUUCUUCACGCCGCCCGCGCUGCCGGGCUACUACCAGGGCUCCGCCGCGGGCGCCGUGCCGGGGGAGCCUCGGGAGGGCGGAGGCUCCAUCGGCACGUUCUUCGGCGUGCUCGCGGCGGUCCUGGUGCUCACCGCGGUGUCCUGCGUCUUCGGCCGCGUGUGCCGGGCGCAGGCCGAGGGGGCCGACGAGGUGUACGACUGCGCGAGGCUGUCGCGGCGAUGGCGCUGGUGGAGCGCGCCUCCCCGGAUCGUCAGGCGCGGGGCCAAGCCGCCGCCCGUGGAGGAGGUGCCUGCCGCGCUGCCGCUGCCGGAGCCAUGA